Molecule: non-coding RNA, 7306 nt
Organism: Pelobates cultripes (western spadefoot toad)
Lineage: Eukaryota; Metazoa; Chordata; Amphibia; Anura; Pelobatidae
Source: the annotation of a GenBank genome assembly
UUUUAUUUAUUUUUGGCAAUAUAUUUUUAUUGCAUUAUAACACGUUAGAAACACAUGAAUUAAAUUGUUAGCGGACUCUCCGUUUGGCAGACAUGUGGAAUGUGGGUAUUUACACACCCUUUAACGAAUCUUCUCACUACACGUGUACCCAUGGGUCAUGUGACCAACCAGCAGCCGGGGCGGGUCAUGUGACCAGGCUCCGGUACUCAGGCGCGUGCCGCCGGUGUACCACGUGACCAGGCUCAGGCGUGCUGUCAGAUUUUCCCUACACCGUGCACGCACUCACACACAGCUUGCCAUCCUGGCUCGGCUCUGACCCGCCAACGGUUUGUGAACUACACUUCCCGGCAUACACCGCGUGACAUCACUUCCUGUUACCCGAAGGCGGCUUUAGGGGCGGAGCCGGAAGUUGUCUGGGACCUGUCUGUAUAUAACUAUCAGCAAAGCAUCUAAUGUAUGUAUUAUACCAUCUAUAUUAUAUACAGUGUGUGUAUUAUACCAUCUAUAUUAUAUACAGUGUGUGUUAUACCAUCUAUAUUAUAUACAGUGUGUGUUAUACCAUCUAUAUUAUAUACAGUGUGUAUUAUACCAUCUAUAUUAUAUACAGUGUGUGUUAUACCAUCUAUAUUAUAUACAGUGUGUGUAUUAUACCAUCUAUAUUAUAUACAGUGUGUGUUAUACCAUCUAUAUUAUAUACAGUGUGUAUUAUACCAUCUAUAUUAUAUACAGUGUGUGUUAUACCAUCUAUAUUAUAUAUACAGUGUGUAUUAUACCAUCUAUAUUAUAUAUACAGUGUGUAUUAUACCAUCUAUAUUAUAUAUACAGUGUGUGUAUUAUACCAUCUAUAUUCUAUACAGUGUGUGUAUUAUACCAUCUAUAUUAUAUACAGUGUGUGUAUUAUACCAUCUAUAUUAUAUACAGUGUGUGUUAUACCAUCUAUAUUAUAUACAGUGUGUGUUAUACCAUCUAUAUUAUAUACAGUGUGUGUAUUAUACCAUCUAUAUUAUAUACAGUGUGUAUUAUACCAUCUAUAUUAUAUACAGUGUGUGUAUUAUACCAUCUAUAUUAUAUACAGUGUGUAAUAUACCAUCUAUAUUAUAUACAGUGUGUGUAUUAUACCAUCUAUAUUAUAUACAGUGUGUAAUAUACCAUCUAUAUUAUAUAUACAGUGUGUGUAUUAUACCAUCUAUAUUAUAUAUACAGUGUGUAUUAUACCAUCUAUAUUAUAUACAGUGUGUGUAUUAUACCAUCUAUAUUAUAUACAGUGUGUGUAUUAUACCAUCUAUAUUAUAUACAGUGUGUGUUAUACCAUCUAUAUUAUAUACAGUGUGUGUUAUACCAUCUAUAUUAUAUACAGUGUGUAUUAUACCAUCUAUAUUAUAUACAGUGUGUGUUAUACCAUCUAUAUUAUAUACAGUGUGUAUUAUACCAUCUAUAUUAUAUACAGUGUGUGUUAUACCAUCUAUAUUAUAUAUACAGUGUGUAUUAUACCAUCUAUAUUAUAUAUACAGUGUGUAUUAUACCAUCUAUAUUAUAUAUACAGUGUGUGUAUUAUACCAUCUAUAUUCUAUACAGUGUGUGUAUUAUACCAUCUAUAUUAUAUACAGUGUGUGUAUUAUACCAUCUAUAUUAUAUACAGUGUGUGUUAUACCAUCUAUAUUAUAUACAGUGUGUGUUAUACCAUCUAUAUUAUAUACAGUGUGUGUAUUAUACCAUCUAUAUUAUAUACAGUGUGUAUUAUACCAUCUAUAUUAUAUACAGUGUGUGUAUUAUACCAUCUAUAUUAUAUACAGUGUGUAAUAUACCAUCUAUAUUAUAUACAGUGUGUGUAUUAUACCAUCUAUAUUAUAUACAGUGUGUAAUAUACCAUCUAUAUUAUAUAUACAGUGUGUGUAUUAUACCAUCUAUAUUAUAUAUACAGUGUGUAUUAUACCAUCUAUAUUAUAUACAGUGUGUGUAUUAUACCAUCUAUAUUAUAUACAGUGUGUAAUAUACCAUCUAUAUUAUAUAUACAGUGUGUGUAUUAUACCAUCUAUAUUAUAUAUACAGUGUGUAUUAUACCAUCUAUAUUAUAUAUACAGUGUGUAUUAUAACAUCUAUAUUAUAUACAGUGUGUAUUAUACCAUCUAUAUUAUAUACAGUGUGUAUUAUACCAUCUAUAUUAUAUAUACAGUGUGUGUAUUAUAUCAUCUAUAUUAUAUACAGUGUGUAUUAUAUCAUCUAUAUUAUAUACAGUGUGUAUUAUACCAUCUAUAUUCUAUAUACAGUGUGUGUAUUAUAUCAUCUAUAUUAUAUACAGUGUGUGUAUUAUAUCAUCUAUAUUAUAUACAGUGUGUAUUAUACCAUCUAUAUUAUAUACAGUGUGUGUAUUAUAACAUCUAUAUUAUAUAUACAGUGUGUGUAUUAUAACAUCUAUAUUAUAUAUACAGUGUGUAUUAUACCAUCUAUAUUAUAUACAGUGUGUGUAUUAUACCAUCUAUAUUAUAUACAGUGUGUGUAUAACAUCUAUAUUAUAUAUACAGUGUGUGUAUUAUACCAUCUAUAUUAUAUAUACAGUGUGUGCAUUAUACCAUCUAUAUUAUAUACAGUGUGUGUAUUAUAACAUCUAUAUUAUAUAUACAGUGUGUGUAUUAUAACAUCUAUAUUAUAUAUACAGUGUGUGUAUUAUACCAUCUAUAUUAUAUACAGUGUGUAUUAUACCAUCUAUAUUAUAUAUACAGUGUGUAUUAUAACAUCUAUAUUAUAUAUACAGUGUGUGUAUUAUACCAUCUAUAUUAUAUAUACAGUGUGUAUUAUAACAUCUAUAUUAUAUACAGUGUGUAUUAUACCAUCUAUAUUAUAUACAGUGUGUAUAUUAUACCAUCUAUAUUAUAUACAGUGUGUAUUAUACCAUCUAUAUUAUAUACAGUGUGUGUUAUACCAUCUAUAUUAUAUAUACAGUGUGUAUUAUAACAUCUAUAUUAUAUACAGUGUGUAUUAUACCAUCUAUAUUAUAUACAGUGUGUGUUAUACCAUCUAUAUUAUAUACAGUGUGUGUUAUACCAUCUAUAUUAUAUACAGUGUGUAUUAUACCAUCUAUAUUAUAUACAGUGUGUGUUAUACCAUCUAUAUUAUAUACAGUGUGUAUAUUAUACCAUCUAUAUUAUAUAUACAGUGUGUAUUAUACCAUCUAUAUUAUAUACAGUGUGUGUUAUACCAUCUAUAUUAUAUACAGUGUGUGUAUUAUACCAUCUAUAUUAUAUAUACAGUGUGUAUUAUAACAUCUAUAUUAUACACAGUGUGUAUAUUAUACCAUCUAUAUUAUAUACAGUGUGUAUUAUACCAUCUAUAUUAUAUACAGUGUGUGUAUUAUACCAUCUAUAUUAUAUACAGUGUGUUAUACCAUCUAUAUUAUAUAUACAGUGUGUGUUAUACCAUCUAUAUUCUAUAUGCAGUGUGUGUUAUACCAUCUAUAUUAUAUACAGUGUGUAUUAUACCAUCUAUAUUCUAUACAGUGUGUUAUACCAUCUAUAUUAUAUACAGUGUGUGUUAUAUCAUCUAUAUUCUAUAUGCAGUGUGUGUUAUACCAUCUAUAUUAUAUACAGUGUGUGUUAUACCAUCUAUAUUCUAUAUACAAUGCGUGUUAUAUCGUCUAUAUUCUAUAUACAGUGUGUGUUAUACCAGGACAUGCUAUAUACAGUGUGCAUUAUACCUUGGCCACCAAACAUACUGCGUGUCUAAUAUACCAGGAGUUUGUAACAUACCAUUAUAACUAUGUACACGUCACGUGUUUUGUUCUGCGGGCAUUUUACACAUAACAUGUUUUUUUUCUGAGGCAUAUAACACGCAGCAUUCAUGCGUUACACCAACGAUGCGUAACGAACAUACAAGGGCUGUUCACUUAACAAUAAAAUUGUACUAGUUUGAAGCCAUAAUUGUGAAAUGAAGUCUCAAAUAGCUGUUUUGUGCAUAUAGUCCAGAUGAGGACUUUUUCAAGCUAUUUUACCUGUAUUUUGCAAUUUGGGCUUCAGUCAGGUAUAUUUGUAAUUUACUGAAUAACAGUGUAUGCUUUAAACAAAGCAUGUGUAACGUGUGCAUUAUACCAGGGGUGUGUAACAUGUAGCAUGUGAUUUUAUAAAAUAUAUUUUUAAACAUUAUAAUUAAUAUGUGCAACUUAUGCAACAAAUUACAUUGCUCAUAACAUUCUGGCGAUUGCAUCGUUCCUAUUCUCGUAGCUAUGCUAUAAUUUUGCGAGUGAUCUGUAACAUUGUAUGUGGCUAGGUUUAAUCAUUGCAUUUGGCUUUUUUUACGUGCUGUGUGAUUGGUAAACCCCUUGCCACUUUGUGUUGGGUGAUCAUUAGCACUGCUUGCAGUUUUCUUAUGGUUGUUUUUCAUUUUUGGAUCAUUGAAAUUGCUUAUGUUGGUGGGUCACAUUUUUGUUAUGGAAUCUGUGAUUUGGAGUGUGAUUAAACUGCUUGUAGUUUUGUGGUGGUUCUGGGCGUGAUUGGUAAAACUGCUUAAUGGCGAUUUAGUUCAUGGACAGCAACACUGCUUCCAGCUUCCAUUUGAUGAGUUGUGUUUUGCUGACUGUUAUUGAUUGUGUUACAGUGACAUUUUCUUCAUUACUCUUCCUACAGAGACGGACUCUAACAGAUAUGACCAAGCUGGUUGAAUGGCUCCUGGGGCUGACUCUCCUUGGAGUAGUGUGGGCCACUCUGACGUUUGACCUCUUAGGCCUGGAGAUUCCCGAGCCAUGCUGGCAAGUUAUCUGGCCCUUUCCGGUCUACCUUCUGGUAACAUUCGGUUGUUACUCCUUAGCCACAGUUGGAUAUAGAGUGGCUACUUUUAAUGACUGUGAAAGUGCUGCGCAGGAGCUACAGCGGCAGAUUAAGGAGGCAAAGAGGGACUUGACCACCAAGGGCUUCAGUUUUUGACCAGUACAUGAUGCCUGGUUACUGGAACCAAUUCAAUAAGGACACUGUGAUCUUUCAAGGGUUAAUCAGGGGUGCUCACUGUGACUGGAUUCCUCAUUUGUAUUAUCCCAGAUGAUUGUACUACUUGUUUGGAAUGGAGCUCAUCUGAACAGUGGAUUUUUUCAGGACCAAACAGUUAAUGAAGAUUAGAUAAUACUGUUUGCUGUGUCUUUCUUUUUUGGGGGGUUGGGAGGUUCUUGGUGAGAAGGUAAAUGGAAUGCCUUUCUCAGAGCGAGGAUAAAUACUGUCAAUCAUUGCUGGGAAAUGUGUCAGUCAUCAUUCUGUAUCCCUCUUAAACAUGGUGUGCAGACCCUAGCAGCUAUAGAUAGGGCUGCUCUCGGAGAAUACGAGAAAGUGAAACAAAGACAAAAGAUGAUCUUAGAAGCUUGCAAUCUAGAUUGGGGAAGUGAAUAAAUAAAACACAUGGUAUAGAGUGAGGCUCUGCUAAAAGCUAACAAUCUAGAGGGGAUAGAGAACAAAUGGCACAUUUGUGAUGUUAUUUAAUAAUGUAAAAAGUGGUGGGAAUUCAAAGUAAUUUUUGAAUUUAAUGUCAUAAUAGCUGAGCUUGUGCUUCCAGUUUGAAUUUUCUGGCCUUAUAAUUUUAAUUUCACUUUGAAUUUCUGAAACUUGUUGAAUAGUGAAUAAAUCUGAUGGUGUAGACAGCCCCAGUAUCAGGAAGUAUUACUUUACUGAGAGGGUAGUGGAUGCAUGGAAUAGCCUUCAAGCUGAAGUGGUAGAGGUUAACACAGUAAAGGAGUUUAAGCAUGCGUGUGAUAGGCAUAAGGCUAUCCUAUCUAUAAAAUAAGGCCAGGGAUUAAUGAAAGUAUUUAGAAAAUUGGGCAGACUAGAUGGGCCGAUUGGUUCUUAUCUGCCGUCACAUUCUAUGUUUUUAUGUUUCUGCUCAAAGCUUUAAAUCUAAAAGGAACGAGGGGUAAUUUAAACACUAACAAUGGUUCUCACUAAAGUCUGAAUGUCUGUGGUGCGGAUUAGCAACAAAAUAAUCCAGGAUUGCAAACUCCAGACAUUGUUCCCAAAAUUUUGCAAUGUACGAAGUUUUCAAUACUGCCUCCCUAUUACUUAGAAACAUAUAACAGAAGAGUCGCUGGAAUCUGAAAACGGAAUUAUGGAAAUACACCAUGGAAUGUGCAGAUUAAACAGAAUUGCAAAUUCAGUUCAAAUGAAGUUACACAAAUUUGUAGAUAGAUAAUGGCCAAUUCUAUUACAAGCUAUCAUUUAAAAAGCCGGCAAUUAGCCCCAUUUUGAUGACAAAAUUUAAAAAAUUACUUUGUGGACAGGUUUAGUCCAAUUAUAAAACAUAUAUAUUACUUUUAUUAACUCGGCUGCGUUACCAAAAAUAAACUUGUGCUCUUUUUUUUUUUUUUGUAAGUUUUUAUUUUGGAAGUACAAUGACUGAAGAACAUGCAGGUUGAGACAUGUGACCAUGAGACAAUUAUAAACACGAAGUUUGUUACGUGUGUUGAAAUAAAUGCACAUUUUUAUAAUGUUAAAAUAGUCAAGCGAUAACAUUGCAACUGGGCCCAUGCUAUAAUUGUUAAUGAGAAAACUGAGACACUGGCCCUGAUAUAUAUCCACAAGCUAAAUCCAAUAUAGACAGCGUCAAAAACGAGGUGAGCUAAAGGUAAAACAACUUCAAUUUUUGUUAAGCAACAGAGCCAAGUUUCUGACCAGGCAUAAGGCUACCGUGACUUAUUAAAGGGGUCCUAUAGUGCCAGGAAAACAAACCCGUUUUCCAGGCACUAUAGGCUCUUGGAGAGCCCCACUCCCUCGGCGCUGAAGGGGUUAAAACUUACCUUACCUUAAUCCAACCCCGGGCUCCCUCGGCGCUGGUGGCCUCUCCUCCCCCGCAGACUUCAGCUCCCAAGUGGAGCCGUAUGCGCAUGAGCGACCAGAGGCGCGAGCAUUCAAACUCGCCCAUAGGAAAGCAUUACUCAAUGCUUUUCUAUGGGGAUCUUAUUUGACGCUGCACUCCGUGAGGAUGUCCAGCAUCAGAUAAGUGCGAUUUUGUAAAUCGCGGAAGCUCCUCUAUUGGCUGUCAGGGAUACAGCCACUGGAGGCUGGAUUAACCCUGCAAUGUACACAGCAGUGUCUCUGAAACUGCUAUGUUUUCAGCUGAAGGGUUAAAACCAGGAGGACCUGGCACCCAGACCACUUCAUUGAGCUGAAGAGGUCUGGGUGCUUAUAGUGGUCCUUUAAGUAACUCAGACUUGAGAGAAGCAGGUAUCAAGCGGUCAGCCAUUUACUCAGCUAGUCCACAUUUGGAAGAUUGCUCCAAGCCCACUUAGGAAAACGUAAGUAUCGUUGCCUCUGCACCAUACCGUCAAGGCAGGAUGCCU